This is a long non-coding RNA of Heterocephalus glaber (naked mole-rat), 7645 nucleotides long. NCBI's taxonomy places the organism in Eukaryota, Metazoa, Chordata, Mammalia, Rodentia, Bathyergidae. The record is from Ensembl.
GUUAACUGUUACUCAAUUGCAGAUGUUUUUCUUUACCAGUAGCAUGAGGGAAAAUCGUGCAGAAAUGUAAAUUCCUACUUCAAGGCUGUGGAGCCUGGAGCCUCCCUUGCCUAGUUCUUUCUCCCCAGUUUCUGAGAGCAAGACCUUGUCCCUCCGGGUGUCCCUCAGGGUGUGGAUUCAGUUACCCAAUGAGCUGUCUGGUCCUCCACCACAUGUUCUCUGAAGCCCCUCACUGCUGGGCCUGCCUCGCGUGGGGGCAGAUGUGACCUUAGUGUGCCCACCAGGAGUGAGGAGAGGGAAGACGCCUCCCUUGCGUGGUGGAACAGGCGUUGAAGAAAGGAGACUUGCAGAUGAUCUUUCUCUUUUCACGUGUGGGACCUCAGGUCCAGAAACACUGAUACCAGUGACCAUGGACUGCAACUGCUGACACCAUGAGCCAAAGCGAACCUUUCCUCCUGGAGCCCGCCCGUCAUGUGCAGGGGAGGCCCAGGAGCUCGGUGCUGAACAUGCUCAGGAGGCUGGACAGGAUCAGGUUCAGAGGCCCCAAGAGAGAGGACUGCCUGGACCUGGCAGAGUCGCCCAAUGCCUCGGACACUGAGUGCGCUGACGAGCUGCCCCUGAAGACACCUCGGACCUCGCCCGAGACGGCCAGGAGCUCAGGGACCCUGCAGGUCCAGGGACCCUCAUCAUGGCCACUGGGGCGCCAGACUUCAUCCGCACAGAGUCUGAUCGCCUGAACGAGAUCAAGGGUCACCUGGAAAUCGCCUUACUGGAGAAGCACUUCCUGCAGGAGGAGCUCCGGAAGCUCCGGGAGGAAACCAACUCGGAGAUGCUGAGGCAAGAGCUGGACCGGGAGCGGCAGCGGCGGCUGGAGCUGGAACAGAAGAUGCAGGAGGUGCUGAAGGCCAGAGCCGAGGAGCAGACUGCGCAGGUCCAACAGCCGCUAAAGAGCCAGAGCCAGGCCGGCAAUGGAGCAGAACGCCGCAGCCAGGGCCUGUCCUCCCGAGCACAGAAGUGGUUCUAUGAGAGGUUCUGGGGAGUACCUGGAGGGAUUUCCGCUUUCAGCCCGAGGAGAACACCGUGGAGACCGAGGAACCCCUCAGUGCCCGCAGGUUAACGGAGAACAUGAGGCGGCUGAGUGACGGGGCCAAGCCUGUCACUAACUUCGUGAGGAACCUUUCUGCCUUAUCUGACUGGUACUCCGUCUACACCUCUGCCAUCGCCUUCACGGUGUACAUGAACGCCGCGUGUGGCACGGCUGGGCCAUCCCCAUGUUUCUGUUUCUAGCAAUUCUGAGGCUGUCCCUCAAUUACCUCAUCGCCAGGGGCUGGCGGAUACAGUGGAGCAUCGUGCCAGAAGUGUCUGAAGCUGUGGAACCUCCAAAGGAAGACCUGACCGUGUCCGAGAAGUUCCAGCUGGUGCUGGACGUCGCCCAGAAAGCCCAGAAUCUCUUUGGCAAGAUGGCAGACAUCCUGGAAAAGAUCAAGAACCUGUUCAUGUGGGUGCAGCCCGAGAUCACGCAGAAGCUGUACAUUGCACUGUGGGCUGCCUUCCUGGCCUCCUGCUUCUUCCCCUACCGCCUGGUGGGGCUCACCGUGGGGCUCUAUGCUGGCGUCAAGUUUUUCCUCAUCGAUUUCAUCUUCAAACGCUGCCCCCGGCUGCGAGGCCAAGUAUGACACGCCCUACAUCAUCUGGCGGAGCCUCCCCACGGACCCCCAGCUCAAGGAGCGUGCGGGUGCCACUGUGUCACGCAGGUUGCAGACAGCCGCGUCUAGGAGCUACGUCUCCAGUGCACCAGCCGGCUUGAGCAAGGAUGAGGAUGCUGGUCGCUUCCACAGUACCAAGAAGGGCAAUUUCCACGAAAUCUUCAACUUGACCGAAAAUGAGCGUCCACUGGCAGUGUGUGAGAACGGUUGGCGCUGCUGCCUGAUAAACCGAGACCGGAAGAUGCCCACGGACUACAUCAGGAAUGGGGUUCUGUAUGUGACAGAGAAUUACUUAUGCUUUGAAAGCUCCAAAUCCGGGUCCUCAAAGAGGAACAAGGUCAUCAAGCUGGUAGACAUCACAGACAUCCAGAAGUACAAGGUCCUGUCUGUCCUCCGGGCUCAGGCAUGGGGAUUGCUGUAUCGACGCCAUCAACCCAGAAAGUAAGUGGCAGGCGGGUGGCUGUGACUGGUCCAGGUGGGUCGGGGGGCUCAGCUCUUGCCAUGCCUGGGCCUGGCCAUGGCUUCAGCCCGGGCAGGGAGCUGCAGACUGCUACAUCCGGUCUGCAUCCAGCGAUCACAGCCCUUGGGCGGUAGAGUCCCAGGACAGAUGAAUACUCAGGAAGGGGGGCGGCAAGCCUGGAGCCCAGGUUCCCCACUUCUUACCUCGGUUUCUCUGAGCCUUCUGGGUAGGACCCUGCACAGCUGCUUGGUGCUCAGCUUGGGGUCACCAUCUUGGUCCCAACCUUGCAGUGGGCAGUGCUCACAGGCAGCGUUUCCCCCAGCCGCUGGUGUUCGAGGCGCCAUGGUGCACAGAGACGAGGCCUUCGAGACCAUUUUCAGCCAAUAUGUGAAGAUCACGUCUGCAUCAGCCUCGGGUGGGAAAGCUAGUACUGAGCCCUGGGUGCCACUGGAAUCUUUUUAACAGUCGGUGUGGGACAGAGUGGACAGCCUCAUGACCCUUUGCAAUAAUUCCCUGACCUAUGGUUUCUGUUGCGUGGCUGGAUUCACACACAGAGGCUGGGGCUCAGGAGGAGGUGCCACUGCCCCCUGGCAGGCGCGUGUGGCACCUUAGUGGGGACGCGGCUGGGCGGAGGGGGCCGCAGGGCUCAUUGAGAGGAUGACACGCAGGACUUCACUGACCGGGCCUACCAAGCACAGCUCCUUGUUCUCCAUCCCGCCUGGGUAGAGACUGACACCGGCCACCCCAGGAGGCUCUCGUGACCCCUCGUUCCCUGCUUUGCAGAGGCCAGGAGCUGCCCCACCAAAGCCAUAGCUGAGUGCCUCCAUGGUCCUCUCCUGCUGGGGUCAGGGAAGGAGUGGAAUCGGGGCCCCUGUACCAGCUGCCCAGAAAAGGCCAGCAGGUCUCCCUCAACCUUCAGCACUUGUCCUUAAAGCUCCAGGCCCUGGGCCUGGGGACAGGGUUGUCUUCCGUGGGAGCAGUGAGGCUGGGCAUAUUUGGAGGCACUUCCCUCUCACCUGCUAUGGUAGAUGAAGCCUGGAGGCUUGAGGUUGACUGGGAAGGGUACAGAAUGCCAUGUGGGUAAAAGCACAUCUCUAACACUGCUCCUCCGAGAGGCCCUGGAGGACGUCAGGAAGGCUGUGGGGUGCUCUGAGCUGUGGCUGCUCUCAGGUGAAAAUCAACAGUCUGGCCGGCACUGGGCCCUCUGGCUGCAACCACCCAGGUAGGCGUGGUUGAGGAUGGCCUGGGCUUUGUGGCCCACAGAGGCCCAGGCUGCAGAUGCCCUGCCUGUGGGGCCAUCAGGAGCUCCUGGGAGGACCCUCUGCUGUAGGGGUGGCUGUGAGCAGAUUCCAGUGUGGGGCCAGGGCCACCCUGCAUCCCUGACAGCUGACAGUACUCCCCCACCCCCGGGGGUGCCCAGCAGUGCCAGGCUGGGCACAAACCACCCUCAGCCUGCCCCGCCCUGGGGCUGCGCACACUUGCAGGGUGAACUCUGGCUCCGUAGAGGAAGCCGGAGAGUGUGUCUCCCACGCUUGGUUUACCCUGGGGCCGUGCGCCCACAGAUGGAUUUGAACUGCAAAGAAGCCGACAUUGAGUCCUGGGACAGGCUUGGCCUCCCAAGGCCGCACCACAUGUGGUCUGUAUGCUUUCUGAGCAGUCUCUCCAGUUCUUCAGCUUGUCCUGGGUCUUUCGAGGUGUCUCUGAGAUUGUUUUUGAAGAAACAGAUUAUAUUUUUUACAGAGAGCAAGCUGUUUUUCUUAUUUUUGUAUCAUUUUUCAAAUGGAAUUUUUACCUUUGCUCUGAAUCCUCGUUGGCUGGCUUGGGAGUGGACGCAGUGGUGUGGGCUGGUGACCCCUUCCUGGAGGCUGCAGGGUUGCCCGUGGUGUGGGGACGCGGCACAAACAGCCAGGUCAGGCACACAGGCCACACCAGGCUCCACAGAUGGUACCACCACACCCUUGUUGUUGAAGGCAGAGCCCCCCUGGCAUGGCUCACCUGGCAGCAGACCCAGCUCUCAAGUGCAUGGGGUUAGGUGGGGCCCAGGAGGACCCCAAGGGGAGGUGGAGGGGGCCUGACCUGUUCUGGGUGCAGGUGUAUGGGUGAUGUCCAUGGGUGAUGGUCAGACCUGUCCCCUGGCCCUGGCAGUGCCAGGGCGGGUGCUGGGAACGUGCUAUCAGUGAGCACUUCCUGUGGACACACUGGGAUGCUGUCCAAAGCACCAUGGGGAGGGGCUGGGCGGACAGGGCUUCUUCAAAGACCGUGUGGUUUAGUUUGAGUCCCUUUCUCGGAGAAGGGCGAUGAAGACUGGCCAUGGCCUGCUGGAUGCAGCGCCCAGUGUGUGGGGGAGGCCAGUGUCACCCCAAGUUGCACAGCUAGGAAGUAGCAGGUUCUUCAGUGGACCCCGGGGGCUGGGCUGGGCUAGGACAGGGGCCUGUGCAGGCCCUGGUCUCGUCAGAGACCACAGUUCUGUGGAAGUGUACAUCUGGGCUAUAUUUAAUUUCUAUGACUAAUCACUGAACUAGAACGUUAAAUUUUGAAUGUCUGAAGCUUGAGUCUAUUUUGGAUCUGUACAUAAUUGUUACCAGUGUAACUUUUGUUCAACAAAAGGAUUGUACUGUAUGAAGAAUCGAUGAAAAAACUUGUCACAUUUUUUUAAGAGAAAAACCUUGUUUAAAGAAAAAGUCUUGUAUAAAUUAUAAUUUUUAUUUAAAUAAACCCUAAAACGCUUUGUGCUAAAGCUCAGGCCCUCUGCUUUCUUGGCAGGGUGUGGGCUGCUGGAGCAGGCUGGGCAGCUCCCAGGCCCCGCAGGACCCCAGGGGCAACGAGGACGUGGAGCCACCUGGAGCCUCUUUGAGCCUCGAUGGGUUAAGGUUGAGGGGGAGGCAGGUGCUGGGCCGCAGUGGAGGCCAGAUGGUGAGGGGCACUGGCAGAAGGGCAAGGCUGGCACUGGAGUGGGGUGUGAGGUCAGUUCGGAGGCCAGCCAGGGCCAUGGGCCUGGGACAGGGGCCACAGCCCCAGGCAGUCGUGGUGCCCUGCUUACCUGCCUCUUGCAGGUCACUAGGCAGAGGGUUGCUGAUUGCACCAGCAGUUUGGUUGAUAAGACACACUGGGCAGAGGGACGCAGGAACACAUCUGGUUUCUAAAUCCACUGGGAUCAAGCAUGGGCCUGUGUGGGGUACACUGAUAGUACCUGGCUUCUAUGUGCCACCCUCUGUGAACCCCUAAGAGGCAGAGACCUGACCCCUAGGAAGAGAGUUGGAGCCAGGUGGAAACCUCAGAGGUAUAGCCAGAUGAGUUUGGACAUUUGUACACUCUACUGAAUCUAGUCAUCUUCCAUUGAUCAUCUCUGCAUCCAUCUAUACACCUGUGCAUCGUCUAUCAUCCACCUAUCAAUCCAUGCAUCCAUCCACCCGUCUCCCUGUCCACUCAUCCACUCAUCCUUCUAACCAUCCACCCAUCCAUCUAUCCACCCAGCCAUAGCAGGUACUGUCCUGCUGGCCAGAAUAGAAGCAGAGAAGGGACAAAGGUUGCUGGGAACCUGGUAAACUUACCCUUAGCCCCUCUUGGCUCAUAGUCCCACUGUGCCCACACUGGCUCGCCACCUCUCCUCCGCCCCUUGGGGCAUGCCUUCUCCCUGCUCACUCAGCCCAGUUGUCUACACAACCGCCGGGCAACACAGCCGGACCCAGGCCCAGUACUGCCUGGCCCUGCACCUGGUUCCCAAGGCUGAAACAGGGCAGAGUGGAAAGGCACAACAUGGCUCUUUGGCAGGUGCUGCUACAGCAGGCUGUGGAGGAGGCAGCCUAGUUUGCACACCCCUGACCCCACAGGGUUGUGCUGGCUGGAGGCUAGCCAUGCCUGAAAGUGGCGUGCUACACUGGGUGGCUUCCUUCAGACAGAGGCCAGUGUACCACUUGCCCUGGGGAAUUUAACCUCAGAAAAAAGCAGCCGCAGCCUCAGACUUUAAAAUGGUGGCAACCUGCGAGGGACAGACGGGAGUUCGGGUGACAGAAAGUGUACAUGACAUCUUUGUUUACUUUGCUCUCAUUCUUUAAACUGUCCAUGUGUGUUUUCAUGAACAAUAUUAUGCUUUGAAAAUAACAUGAAUUGGUAAAAAGAAAGAAAAACGCCAAAUUCUGCCCAAAGUAACUUUAUUUUUGUCUUCUCAAACGUAUCAGAGCAAAUACAUCAUUUUCUAAUCUUGAAACCAGCAAGAUUAAGACACCAAGCCCUGCUCUCCCCAGCGUGUCGGUACUGGAGCCGGUGUUCAGCACCGCUCACUGCCUCACUGCAGAGUCUGCACACUGACUGCCCGCCAAGCGACCCUGCUCUACCCCAAGUCAGUGCUUGUGACUUCCUCUAAACCCCUACGCACGGGGUUGCAGUUGCCACCCCCGAGGCCUCAGGCAGACCCCAGCUGACAGUUCAGGAAUGUCAGCCCAAGCUCCCAUCCUCGGGCUCUGCCUCAGACCUCACCAGGAGCCCAAAACAAUUCAGAUAGUAACUUGGGAUUUUGAAUGUCACCUCCAGCUCCAAAGUGUCUUCCCCCUGGGUCCUUUUUGUCUGAGGUUGCCAGGGAUUCUGGGAGGGCCCAAGGGUAGCAGGAGCCAGGCUGUCACCCCAGGCAGGACUCCAGGAGCAUUGUGCCCUGAGUGUGCUCCAGACCUGCUGGGCCACUGGCACAGAGGUCACAGGCAGCCCCUUUCUCUCAGAGAACCGCCAGCCUGACACUCAGUUUCUUCCCAAGCAGGGACAAACAUGAACGGAAAAGGUUGGGGUGUUUACUCUUUCUCCCAAGAUUUUUCACUCAACCAUCAAUUCUUUUUUUUUGGAACCAGGGGAUCGAACUCAGAACCUUGUGCUUGCAAGGCAGGCAGCAGCACCACUGAGCUACAUCCCCGGCCCUCAACCAUCAAUUCUUAAACCAUCCGACAUAGUAUUACCUCUGAAAACGUGGUCCACUUAAAAGCCACCUUGAAAGCUGCCUUUUUGUCUGGGUAGGACUGAAUGAUGAAAACAGGAAACUUUAUAUAUGCUUUUAAGAUAUAAAUGUGAUGCAAGAAAUUCUAAAAAUAGCUGCUGUUUGUCAAGUGCUACAGUGACUAAGGGACCCUGUGUGGGCUCUCAACCUACAGUGAUCUGUGUAAGGCCCUACUUGGUGACAGCCACUGCGGCACAGGUCAAGCUUAAGCUGCACACUCUUGUAUUUCAAAUAAAACUGUUUUACAUAUGUAUUAUCAGACAUGCAAUCUGAAAACAGAGUAAAGAUGGCCACCCAGCUGAGGACCACCUCCCACUGCAGGAUGCCUGCCAGGAGGCCCUGGUCACUACCCAGGCCGAGCAGGAAGCAACUGUCUCCUGGGGCCCAGAGACAAAGCAAUAACACCAUUUCAGAUUGAUGAGGAUAAAACUUCCAAUAAAUAAAUAGAAGUCAAAACUCAGGGCAGGGGAUUUAGCUCAGUGGUUCCGGCGCCUGCCU